CACGAGAAAUCCUGUCUGAAUAUGGGGGGCCCAUCCUCCAAGGCUAAAUACUCGUAAUCGACCGAUAGUGAACCAGUACCGUGAGGAAAGGCGAAAAGAACCCCGGGAGGGGAGUGAAAUAGAUCCUGAAACCGCAUGCAUACAAACAGUGGGAGCCCCUUCGUGGGGUGACUGCGUACCUUUUGUAUAAUGGGUCAGCGACUUACGUUCAGUAGCAAGCUUAACCGCAUAGGGGAGGCGUAGGGAAACCGAGUCUGAUAAGGGCGAUAGUUGCUGGACGUAGACCCGAAACCAAGUGAUCUAUCCAUGGCCAGGAUGAAGGUGCGGUAACACGCACUGGAGGUCCGAACCCACUAAUGUUGAAAAAUUAGGGGAUGAGCUGUGGAUAGGGGUGAAAGGCUAAACAAACUUGGAAAUAGCUGGUUCUCUCCGAAAACUAUUUAGGUAGUGCCUCAAGUAUCACCGACGGGGGUAAAGCACUGUUAUGGCUAGGGGGUCAUCGCGACUUACCAAACCAUUGCAAACUCAGC
This 530-nucleotide ribosomal RNA is filed under the name uncultured bacterium. RNAcentral's name for it is "bacterial LSU rRNA". It matches the Rfam family "Bacterial large subunit ribosomal RNA", at positions 423 to 959 of the family's 2925-position model. The record is from RNAcentral.